Molecule: ribosomal RNA, 499 nt
Filed under: uncultured bacterium
Lineage: Bacteria
Description: partial 16S ribosomal RNA
Rfam family: Bacterial small subunit ribosomal RNA
Source: RNAcentral
GACGAACGCUGGCGGCGUGCCUAAUACAUGCAAGUCGAGCGAAGUUUUUCUGGUGCUUGCACUAGAAAAACUUAGCGGCGAACGGGUGAGUAACACGUAAAGAACCUGCCUCAUAGACUGGGACAACUAUUGGAAACGAUAGCUAAUACCGGAUAACAGCAUUAACUGCAUGGUUGAUGUUUGAAAGUUGGUUUUGCUAACACUAUGAGAUGGCUUUGCGGUGCAUUAGCUAGUUGGUGGGGUAAAGGCCUACCAAGGCGACGAUGCAUAGCCGACCUGAGAGGGUGAUCGGCCACACUGGGACUGAGACACGGCCCAGACUCCUACGGGAGGCAGCAGUAGGGAAUCUUCCGCAAUGGGCGAAAGCCUGACGGAGCAACGCCGCGUGAGUGAAGAAGGAUUUCGGUUCGUAAAGCUCUGUCGUUAGGGAAGAAUGAUUAUGUAGUAACUAUACAUAGUAGAGACGGUACCUAACCAGAAAGCCACGGCUAACUACGUG